RNAcentral lists this non-coding RNA (96 nucleotides) under Oryza sativa (Asian cultivated rice). The record is from miRBase by way of RNAcentral. Lineage: Eukaryota; Viridiplantae; Streptophyta; Magnoliopsida; Poales; Poaceae. RNAcentral also lists the same sequence under 2 other names.
UUAGGCCUACUUUGGAACGGAGGAAUUUUAUAGGAUUUUUGCGGGAAUUUUAACAGAUUCCUGUAAAAUUCAUUCGUUCCAAUGUAGCCCUAUUAG